UCAACUGGGCCUGUAGCUACUGGUUCUGC
Molecule: non-coding RNA, 29 nt
Filed under: Macaca fascicularis (crab-eating macaque)
Lineage: Eukaryota; Metazoa; Chordata; Mammalia; Primates; Cercopithecidae
Also listed under: 1 other name
Source: RNAcentral